RNAcentral lists this ribosomal RNA (467 nucleotides) under uncultured bacterium. RNAcentral describes it as "partial 16S ribosomal RNA". It matches the Rfam family "Bacterial small subunit ribosomal RNA", at positions 28 to 507 of the family's 1533-position model. The record is from RNAcentral.
GACGAACGCUGGCGGCGUGCUUAACACAUGCAAGUCGAACGGAAAGGCCUCUUUCGGGGGGUACUCGAGUGGCGAACGGGUGAGUAACACGUGAGUAACCUGCCCUUGACUUUGGGAUAACUUCAGGAAACUGGGGCUAAUACCGGAUAGGAGCUCCUGCUGCAUGGUGGGGGUUGGAAAGUUUCGGCGGUUGGGGAUGGACUCGCGGCUUAUCAGCUUGUUUGUGGGGUAGUGGCUUACCAAGGCUUUGACGGGUAGCCGGCCUGAGAGGGUGACCGGCCACAUUGGGACUGAGAUACGGCCCAGACUCCUACGGGAGGCAGCAGUGGGGAAUAUUGCACAAUGGGUGGAAGCCUGAUGCAGCAACGCCGUGUGCGGGAUGACGGCCUUCGGGUUGUAAACCGCUUUCGCUCAUGACGAAGCUUUGUGUGACGGUAGUGGGUAAAGAAGCACCGGCUAACUACGUG